Molecule: long non-coding RNA, 2375 nt
Organism: Dreissena polymorpha
Lineage: Eukaryota; Metazoa; Mollusca; Bivalvia; Myida; Dreissenidae
Exons: 5
Source: RefSeq, a predicted model, not a curated record
CCUUGAUGAGAAGCAGUUUUCUUUUCAUUAACAUAUAAUUAUAGUUGGAAAUCUUCAUCUCUAAAAACUUACGAUAGGAUUUAAAAAUAAAAUUGAACAAACAUAGUUGCCGUCUAUCACACUUUUAAAAUAUUUGAUUUUGUAUCAAAGCUGUUCAUAGAACACAUUGAGAGGUAUGUAUCCUCAUUUUAAAGCACGUGUUUCCAGUAUGACAAAGAAAGCACUAAUUGUGGUUAUCAAAGUUGUAAACAAUCACAAGAAAAGGAAUGGUGCAACGAAAGAUAUGAAGCAGAUGUGUUGGAUGUUUGGAGAACUUGGGUUCGAUGUGAUUCCGCGUUUGGACCUUAAAGUCCUUGGGAUAGAAAAGGAACUACGAAAAGCAUGUUCCGAACCCUGCGACUGCUUUGUGUUUGUGAUAAGUUCACAUGGUCGAGAGGUUCUCCUGCCUGGGACAUCAAACGUGUACGUGUAUGACCAGACCGUUUUGGGAUCGGACGGAGAGACUGUCUCUGUAGAUGAUCUUUUCAAAUUCAUGGAUAACAAAGUGCUGAAAGGAACCCCAAAGUUGUGCUUUAUUCAGGCAUGCCGAUCAAAAGCACAAAUACAAAUGUCAUCGAGCACAGAUAAUGCAGAGCUUCAGUGUUGAUGAGGGUAUUCCUGUAAUGGUAUCUAAGCCGACAAUGACGGGCGGACAUAUUGCACAUCAGUUAGAUCAGGCGGAUUGUAAAACAACGCAGGACGAUUCUUCACUGUCGCGAAAUUCUGAGCUGCAAGUCUGGUACGACGAUUCUGUUAUUGAAAUGUUAAAUACGGAGUCUGGCACUGAAAAGAAUAGAGACAAACACGUUACAGCAGCCGUUGGCGAUAAAACUACCCAUUUCAAAUCAUACAUUCGGUUGAUGGGUUGGUUGAGUAUCGAACAUUAAUACAAUAACCAAUAGUUAUCAAUUGUAUAUCAUAUUUUAGGCUUGUUUCAGGUGUUUGCUUAAUUGUACUGAACUAGUUGCAUAAGUAUAUAAAACAAGAGAUGUGUUGUCAGAAUUACAAUGCCCCUUAAUGCGCCGCUUUGAAGCCAUAUAUUUGACCUUUGACCUUGAAGGGUGACCUUGACCUUUCACCACUCAAAAUGUACAGCUCAAUGAGAUACACAUGCAUGCCAAAUAUCAAGGUGCUAUUUUCAAUAUUGCAAAAGUUAUGAUCAAGGUUUAAGUUUGUGACACAUACAAUGACAGACAGACAUACAAUGACAGACUGACAGGCCAAAUACAAUAUACCCCCGAUCAUUGGAUCCGUGGCAAUCUGGUAAAAAUGCUUUCAAUAUUUAACCUUUAUAAGUGAAAAUCUGAAAAUUAGUAUUGUUAAAAAUACAUAACGCUUUUGUGAUAAAUCAUGUUUUGACCAAUUUAACGGCGAUUUCGAGUACGCCGACAUGCAUUGAAAUAGUUACGAACAAAAAUGCUGUGUUUUUUUUCAAAUUACAAACAAAACGUUUAAAGGCUUAAUAAUAAAUGUUGAACUGUCCGUCUUAUCAAAUCAUUGAUCUAAGCAGACAACGACAAUCCUUUCAAUCUGACUGAUUCUGAUGACGAAGACACUGAUGAUGAAGUAGAUGCAGGCGGAAGUGUUGGUGGUGCAGCAGGUGGAGGCGAUUCUAACGUUAUGCCCGAGCUUCCCGUCGACGUUGCCCCAGUAAACUGCCCGAGAGAUUGCCUUGUCAUGUACUCAGUUCAACCGCAUAAGUACGCUCUACGUCAUGCAUCCAGUGGCUCGUGGAUGCUUCACUUCAUGUUCCACAACCGUAAGGAACUAAAGAAGCAGAAUGGAAACGUUCUAACUUAUUUGACUUCUGUUGCGAGGGCCAUGGCAAACCAUACAUGCAACUUCUCAAUCGAGAAUGUUAAAAAAGAGGUGAAGAUAUGUGGAACAAUAUACCAUCGACCGACAACAGAUGUGAUUAUGAAAGCUCAAAGCCACCCGACGAGACAGAUGUUUGCUUUCAAGGCAGCGUUAAAGAGAUACAUGGAUGCAAUCAAUCGCAAGAUGAAUUUGGCACGCUUUUAACAUAGUUAACAUUAAGGACUUGUCGAAGUAAUAACUUAGAAUUUAAUAGUGCGUUGGUUUAAAUAAAUGCGUGUUUUACGUAUAAGUAGACGAUAUUUAUUUUUGAUAAUAGAGGUUUAAACAAAGAUACAUAUGUAAUGUUAUUUAUCUAGAUCAGAUAGGGAAAAUAGUAAAAUUGUGUAAAUAUUAUUAUUUAAUCAAACAUUAACAUAUUCAAUUUAAUACAUAAAAUAUACAUAUACUUCAACAAUAACUAAGAUAUAUAUAAAAAUGUAUAUACUAUUAACGUCAGUAUUUUAUUGUUUUAUUGAGUU